This 1531-nucleotide ribosomal RNA is filed under the name Lactobacillus sp. T1R1C12. RNAcentral describes it as "partial 16S ribosomal RNA". It matches the Rfam family "Bacterial small subunit ribosomal RNA". Lineage: Bacteria; Bacillati; Bacillota; Bacilli; Lactobacillales; Lactobacillaceae. The record is from RNAcentral.
GAGUUUGAUCCUGGCUCAGGACGAACGCUGGCGGCGUGCCUAAUACAUGCAAGUCGAACGAACUCUGGUAUUGAUUGGUGCUUGCAUCAUGAUUUACAUUUGAGUGAGUGGCGAACUGGUGAGUAACACGUGGGAAACCUGCCCAGAAGCGGGGGAUAACACCUGGAAACAGAUGCUAAUACCGCAUAACAACUUGGACCGCAUGGUCCGAGCUUGAAAGAUGGCUUCGGCUAUCACUUUUGGAUGGUCCCGCGGCGUAUUAGCUAGAUGGUGGGGUAACGGCUCACCAUGGCAAUGAUACGUAGCCGACCUGAGAGGGUAAUCGGCCACAUUGGGACUGAGACACGGCCCAAACUCCUACGGGAGGCAGCAGUAGGGAAUCUUCCACAAUGGACGAAAGUCUGAUGGAGCAACGCCGCGUGAGUGAAGAAGGGUUUCGGCUCGUAAAACUCUGUUGUUAAAGAAGAACAUAUCUGAGAGUAACUGUUCAGGUAUUGACGGUAUUUAACCAGAAAGCCACGGCUAACUACGUGCCAGCAGCCGCGGUAAUACGUAGGUGGCAAGCGUUGUCCGGAUUUAUUGGGCGUAAAGCGAGCGCAGGCGGUUUUUUAAGUCUGAUGUGAAAGCCUUCGGCUCAACCGAAGAAGUGCAUCGGAAACUGGGAAACUUGAGUGCAGAAGAGGACAGUGGAACUCCAUGUGUAGCGGUGAAAUGCGUAGAUAUAUGGAAGAACACCAGUGGCGAAGGCGGCUGUCUGGUCUGUAACUGACGCUGAGGCUCGAAAGUAUGGGUAGCAAACAGGAUUAGAUACCCUGGUAGUCCAUACCGUAAACGAUGAAUGCUAAGUGUUGGAGGGUUUCCGCCCUUCAGUGCUGCAGCUAACGCAUUAAGCAUUCCGCCUGGGGAGUACGGCCGCAAGGCUGAAACUCAAAGGAAUUGACGGGGGCCCGCACAAGCGGUGGAGCAUGUGGUUUAAUUCGAAGCUACGCGAAGAACCUUACCAGGUCUUGACAUACUAUGCAAAUCUAAGAGAUUAGACGUUCCCUUCGGGGACAUGGAUACAGGUGGUGCAUGGUUGUCGUCAGCUCGUGUCGCGAGAUGUUGGGUUAAGUCCCGCAACGAGCGCAACCCUUAUUAUCAGUUGCCAGCAUUAAGUUGGGCACUCUGGUGAGACUGCCGGUGACAAACCGGAGGAAGGUGGGGAUGACGUCAAAUCAUCAUGCCCCUUAUGACCUGGGCUACACACGUGCUACAAUGGAUGGUACAACGAGUUGCGAACUCGCGAGAGUAAGCUAAUCUCUUAAAGCCAUUCUCAGUUCGGAUUGUAGGCUGCAACUCGCCUACAUGAAGUCGGAAUCGCUAGUAAUCGCGGAUCAGCAUGCCGCGGUGAAUACGUUCCCGGGCCUUGUACACACCGCCCGUCACACCAUGAGAGUUUGUAACACCCAAAGUCGGUGGGGUAACCUUUUAGGAACCAGCCGCCUAAGGUGGGACAGAUGAUUAGGGUGAAGUCGUAACAAGGUAACCAAUC